GAUGAAGAACGUAGCAAAAUGCGAUACUUGGUGUGAAUUGCAGAAUCCCGUGAACCAUCGAGUUUUUGAACGCAAGUUGCGCCCGAAGCCUUUUGGCCGAGGGCACGUCUGCCUGGGCGUCACGCAUCGCGUCGCCCCCCACAAUUCUCCGUAAAGGGAACAUGUGUUUUGGGGGCGGAUAUUGGUCUCCCGUGCUCAUGGCGUGGUUGGCCGAAAUAGGAGUCCUUUCGAUGGACGCACGAACUAGUGGUGGUCGUAAAAACCCUCGUCUUUUGUUUCGUGCUGUUGCUCGCAAGGUAAACUCUUNNNNAACCCCAAUGUGUCGUCUCUUGACGACGCUUCGACCGCGACCCCAGGUCAGGCGGGACUACCCGCUGAGUUUAAGCAUAUCAAUAAGCGGAGGA
Molecule: unclassified non-coding RNA, 404 nt
Filed under: soil metagenome
Description: partial contains 5.8S ribosomal RNA, internal transcribed spacer 2, and large subunit ribosomal RNA
Rfam family: 5.8S ribosomal RNA (bases 1-122)
Source: RNAcentral